This 429-nucleotide ribosomal RNA is filed under the name Chloroflexota bacterium. Its description in RNAcentral is "Chloroflexi bacterium partial 16S ribosomal RNA". It matches the Rfam family "Bacterial small subunit ribosomal RNA", at positions 355 to 776 of the family's 1533-position model. Lineage: Bacteria; Bacillati; Chloroflexota. The record is from RNAcentral.
UGGGGAAUAUUGCACAAUGGGCGCAAGCCUGAUGCAGCCAUGCCGCGUGUAUGAAGAAGGCCUUCGGGUUGUAAAGUACUUUCAGCGGGGAGGAAGGGAGUAAAGUUAAUACCUUUGCUCAUUGACGUUACCCGCAGAAGAUGCACCGGCUAACUCCGUGCCAGCAGCCGCGGUAAUACGGAUGGUGCAAGCGUUAAUCGGAAUUACUGGGCGUAAAGCGCACGCAGGCGGUUUGUUAAGUCAGAUGUGAAAUCCCCGGGCUCAACCUGGGAACUGCAUCUGAGACUGGCAAGCUUAAGUCUCGUAGAGGGGGGUAGAAUUCCGGGUGUAGCGGUGAAAUGCGUAGAGAUCUGGAGGAAUACCGGUGGCGAAGGCGGCCCCCUGGACGAAGACUGACGCUCAGGUGCGAAAGCGUGGGGAGCAAACAGG